CAUUAGAUGGCUGAAUGUAAGCGCUGGUCUCUUAAACCGUAUAAUAGUAAAUUAACACAUACUUCUAAUGA
This 71-nucleotide transfer RNA is filed under the name Thesaurus albertalleni. RNAcentral's name for it is "tRNA-Lys". The record is from RNAcentral. Lineage: Eukaryota; Metazoa; Arthropoda; Insecta; Coleoptera; Cucujidae.